This 616-nucleotide ribosomal RNA is filed under the name uncultured bacterium. RNAcentral describes it as "bacterial SSU rRNA". It matches the Rfam family "Bacterial small subunit ribosomal RNA", at positions 202 to 817 of the family's 1533-position model. The record is from RNAcentral.
CAAAGGGAUUACCGGUGGCGGAUGGGCAUGCGGCGCAUUAGCUAGUCGGCGGGGUAACGGCCCACCGAGGCGACGAUGCGUAGGGGUUCUGAGAGGAAGGUCCCCCACACUGGUACUGAGACACGGACCAGACUCCUACGGGAGGCAGCAGUGAGGAAUAUUGGUCAAUGGGCGCGAGCCUGAACCAGCCAAGUCGCGUGAGGGAUGACGGUCCUACGGAUUGUAAACCUCUUUUGCCGGGGAGCAAGCGUGCGUUCGUGAACGCGCGUCGAGAGUACCCGGAGAAAAAGCAUCGGCUAACUCCGUGCCAGCAGCCGCGGUAAUACGGAGGAUGCGAGCGUUAUCCGGAUUUAUUGGGUUUAAAGGGUGCGUAGGCGGGAUGCCAAGUCAGCGGUAAAAAUGCGGUGCUCAACGCCGUCGAGCCGUUGAAACUGGCGUUCUUGAGUGGGCGAGAAGUAUGCGGAAUGCGUGGUGUAGCGGUGAAAUGCAUAGAUAUCACGCAGAACUCCGAUUGCGAAGGCAGCAUACCGGCGCCCUACUGACGCUGAGGCACGAAAGCGUGGGUAUCAAACAGGAUUAGAUACCCUGGUAGUCCACGCAGUAAACGAUGAAUGCU